This 79-nucleotide transfer RNA is filed under the name Actinoplanes ianthinogenes. Its description in RNAcentral is "tRNA-Pro". The record is from RNAcentral. Lineage: Bacteria; Bacillati; Actinomycetota; Actinomycetes; Micromonosporales; Micromonosporaceae.
CACCGACGAGCUGCCGGCCGAGCUGGUCCGCUGGGAGCGGACCGGUGGGUCGUACACGUCCUGGUCGGGCACCGGUGGC